Molecule: ribosomal RNA, 253 nt
Filed under: uncultured bacterium
Lineage: Bacteria
Description: partial 16S ribosomal RNA
Rfam family: Bacterial small subunit ribosomal RNA
Source: RNAcentral
UACAGAGGGUGCGAGCGUUAAUCGGAAUUACUGGGCGUAAAGCGCGCGUAGGCGGCUUUGCAAGUCGGGUGUGAAAUCCCCAGGCUUAACCUGGGAACUGCAUUCGAGACUGCAUUGCUAGAGUAUGGGAGAGGGAAGUGGAAUUUCCGGUGUAGCGGUGAAAUGCGUAGAUAUCGGAAGGAACAUCAGUGGCGAAAGCGACUUCCUGGACCAAUACUGACGCUCAUGUGCGACAGCGUGGGGAGCAAACAGG